RNAcentral lists this ribosomal RNA (118 nucleotides) under Diaphorina citri (Asian citrus psyllid). Lineage: Eukaryota; Metazoa; Arthropoda; Insecta; Hemiptera; Psyllidae. The record is from RNAcentral.
GCCAGUGGUGAUAGCGCGUUGAAUCCACCUAUUCCCAAUGGUUCAUUAAAGUUAAGCAAUGUUGCACUUGGUUGGUAUCCGUAUGGGUGACCAUUUGGGCAAUUGCGUGCUGCUGACC